This is a long non-coding RNA of Danio aesculapii, 671 nucleotides long. RefSeq lists it as uncharacterized. The record is from RefSeq and is a predicted model, not a curated record. Lineage: Eukaryota; Metazoa; Chordata; Actinopteri; Cypriniformes; Danionidae. The transcript is spliced from 4 exons.
UGCAGGACCUAGCUAUAUUUACAGUAACUAAAUAUAGUGUAAUAUGUCUCAUAAUUUAGUGUUUUACCGCUUUAAGACCCUUGAGUGCAGAUACAUCGAUGAAGGAGACUGCAGAGAAAUCCAAGAUCAAACUGUGGAUUUUGACCGGAGGGACGGAGAUGUUGGCAGGCAGUUGUGAGUUCCAGUUCACCUGGAUUGGGAGAUCUGAGAAGUCUAUGGGCUGGUCAAGAUCCUCCAUACUGUUUUCUGAUGUGUCAACUGAUGGCUGUCUCAGUACAAGGCCCCUCUGGAUCAAGAAGAAUUCAAACGGAGGAACUGCAUGAAAGAGAGAGUUUCACCUGCGUCUUUCCUCCUGUACUCUCCUGUAUGGCUGUCCUAGAAAGUGCUGUGCUUGCGGCGAAUGAGCGGAAAGAUGCUCCAAACAUGUUGCUUAUUCCAAAGGCAAUGAGCUCCUGGUACAUACAGAACAACUAUUCGCCUGACUCAAUCCCGAGCUCUCUGCAUUACAAGUACAACACUGUACAAACCAAACACUCUACAGACUGACCACACUCCACAUGGAGAUAAACAGGUUCAAUCGCAGGUGUUUGUUGGAUCACUUACUGCUAUUUCUUGGAGUGCCAAUCCAUUGGACACACUGCUGCCAUUAAGGUGUUGAUACUGAUGACUUU